Molecule: ribosomal RNA, 371 nt
Filed under: uncultured bacterium
Lineage: Bacteria
Description: bacterial SSU rRNA
Rfam family: Bacterial small subunit ribosomal RNA
Source: RNAcentral
AGAGGUGGCAAGCGUUGUUCGGAAUUACUGGGCGUAAAGGGCGCGUAGGCGGCCUUCUAAGUCGAACGUGAAAUCCCCGGGCUCAACCCGGGAACUGCGUCCGAUACUGGGAGGCUUGAAUCCGGGAGAGGGAUGUGGAAUUCCAGGUGUAGCGGUGAAAUGCGUAGAUAUCUGGAGGAACACCGGUGGCGAAGGCGGCAUCCUGGCCUGUUCUUGACGCUGAGGCGCGAAAGCUAGGGGAGCAAACGGGAUUAGAUACCCCGGUAGUCCUAGCCGUAAACGAUGGACACUAGGUGUUGGUGGUAUCAACCCCGCCAGUGCCGAAGCUAACGCAUUAAGUGUCCCGCCUGGGGAGUACGGCCGCAAGGCUA